RNAcentral lists this ribosomal RNA (740 nucleotides) under Brevundimonas sp. A2a-11. RNAcentral's name for it is "bacterial SSU rRNA". It matches the Rfam family "Bacterial small subunit ribosomal RNA", at positions 97 to 873 of the family's 1533-position model. The record is from RNAcentral. Lineage: Bacteria; Pseudomonadati; Pseudomonadota; Alphaproteobacteria; Caulobacterales; Caulobacteraceae.
GGCGGACGGGUGAGUAACACGUGGGAACGUGCCUUUAGGUUCGGAAUAACUCAGGGAAACUUGUGGUAAUGCCGAAUGUGCCCUUCGGGGGAAAGAUUUAUCGCCUUUAGAGCGGCCCGCGUCUGAUUAGCUAGUUGGUGAGGUAAUGGCUCACCAAGGCGACGAUCAGUAGCUGGUCUGAGAGGAUGAUCAGCCACAUUGGGACUGAGACACGGCCCAAACUCCUACGGGAGGCAGCAGUGGGGAAUCUUGCGCAAUGGGCGAAAGCCUGACGCAGCCAUGCCGCGUGAAUGAUGAAGGUCUUAGGAUUGUAAAAUUCUUUCACCGGGGACGAUAAUGACGGUACCCGGAGAAGAAGCCCCGGCUAACUUCGUGCCAGCAGCCGCGGUAAUACGAAGGGGGCUAGCGUUGCUCGGAAUUACUGGGCGUAAAGGGAGCGUAGGCGGACAUUUAAGUCAGGGGUGAAAUCCCGGGGCUCAACCUCGGAAUUGCCUUUGAUACUGGGUGUCUUGAGUAUGAGAGAGGUGUGUGGAACUCCGAGUGUAGAGGUGAAAUUCGUAGAUAUUCGGAAGAACACCAGUGGCGAAGGCGACACACUGGCUCAUUACUGACGCUGAGGCUCGAAAGCGUGGGGAGCAAACAGGAUUAGAUACCCUGGUAGUCCACGCCGUAAACGAUGAUUGCUAGUUGUCGGGAUGCAUGCAUUUCGGUGACGCAGCUAACGCAUUAAGCAAUCCGCC